GUUGCUUCUCGCCUGAAAAGUUUCUGAAGAAAAAUGUUCUUUUAUCAACCAUUCCCAUUGUUUCUUGUCAACGCCCUUUGGUGUAUUCUUAAGAGCCUCUAGGAUUGGCUUACCUUUCACAUACUUAAAAUGUAAUUGUCCUCUCCAUUUGUUCCACAAUUCUUUCAUCCAUCCCAAAAUGUGACCCCGGUGACUAUCCAUAUCAUCACUCUCAAAUUUAUCCUCAACAGCUGCCCACAUGUGAUUUAACUUUUCUUCCUCAAUUUCAUCCCAUGAUGAUACUCCUAAUGGACACAUGCUAUGAUCACGAACUAAUUUUCCCAAGUGCCUGGAAAAUAGAUUGCUAUUCCUUCCAACAGUUCGAUUAUUAUAAAAUGUCACUUUCAG
Molecule: unclassified non-coding RNA, 387 nt
Filed under: Hevea brasiliensis (rubber tree)
Lineage: Eukaryota; Viridiplantae; Streptophyta; Magnoliopsida; Malpighiales; Euphorbiaceae
Source: RNAcentral